Molecule: ribosomal RNA, 305 nt
Filed under: uncultured bacterium
Lineage: Bacteria
Description: bacterial SSU rRNA
Rfam family: Bacterial small subunit ribosomal RNA
Source: RNAcentral
UCCUACGGGAGGCAGCAGUGGGGAAUAUUGCCCAAUGGGGGGAACCCUGAUGCAGCGACUCCUCUUUAUCUAAGAAGUAUCUCGGUAUGUAAAGCUCUAUCAGCAGGGAAGAAAAUGACGGUACCUGACUAAGAAGCUCCGGCUAAAUACGUGCCAGCAGCCGCGGUAAUACGUAUGGAGCAAGCGUUAUCCGGAUUUACUGGGUGUAAAGGGAGCGCAGGCGGCGCGCCAAGUCUGGUGUGAAACCCCGGGGCUCAACCCCGGGACUGCAUUGGAAACUGUCGUGCUGGAGUGUCGGAGGGGCA